AUUCUUUCGCAGUCUCACACUCACUCUCUCCUCCACAGAUUAUUGAACUGAAAUUCUCCCUAUUUUUCUACGGAGGAAUUUUCUCGGGUUAAAAUCCGUCCGAUUGUUUCUUGUUUCAUUGUGGCUGCUCCAGGAGGAUGUGUGAGAGUUAGGUCUACCAUUUGGGAGGUGAUUUGUGGAGGGGGAAUUGCAGUUGAAUGGGAUGGUCUCUGCCAUUGCAUUCUGGACAGUGGAUUGUGAAGUUCAACGGCUGAGGAUUCUGAAGUUAUGGAAAGCUCUAUUAGUAAGGAAUCAGUUGGUUUAUGCAAAGGGGGAUUGAGCUAGUUGCGAAUGCUGUUUUUGAUAUACCAACAAGAGAAGAUCUAGAUGGUCCUACUCCUAUAAUUUAGUUUGCCUCCACCAACCAUAAGGUUGCCCAGGGAAAGCCGCUUCCUGUGCGCAGAGCACCUACAGCUUGGGAGACCUUUGCUAAAACAAAAGGUAUUAAGAACUGCAAGAAAGACAAGGUUGUCUAUGAUGAACAGACUCAUUCAUGGAGUUCUGAUCGUGUGAAUGAUGAUAAAGAUGCUGCCAUCAUCGAGGCCAAGAUGACUGAUGAGCCAGGAGAGGUUGUCAAGGGACAAACAGAAAAGAAGUAGCUUGUUGAAAAGAAUGAAAAGAAACUUAUGCAAAGCGGAAUAGGUGCUCUGACAGCAGUUUACUGACUUUUAAAAAGCGAAAUCCGAAGCAAGCUGCUAAGAAGAAGAAGGAAUGGGUAACAAUCUUCUUAACUAUUCCAAAACUUAGGCGAAGGUGUCAGUUAAGGGAAUAUAUUUUUGGUUUAACUUAGGGCCAAUUUCAGUGUAACCUAGAACUUGCAUGAGUAUUACAAAUUUUUGAACCUAGGUAUGCAGAUCAUCUUCGUCAAUGUCUUUUGUCUCUAGUUCAUCACCAUCUCUGGUAUUAUGGAAAAUCCGACUAUAGUAUUACAUCAGUAGAUGAAGAGUCAGCAAGUGACCCUGAAAAUAAGGAAUUCAAAGGUAAUGUCACGAGUUUCUUUAGACCCUUUCUUUUACUUCGUAGUAGCGGUUUGCGGGUUAUAACCCAAAGGUGUCACUAUCCAUCCAUAAAAAAUCCGCCAAAACAAAAGUAACACAA
This is a long non-coding RNA of Papaver somniferum (opium poppy), 1137 nucleotides long. RefSeq lists it as uncharacterized. The record is from RefSeq and is a predicted model, not a curated record. The transcript is spliced from 5 exons. NCBI's taxonomy places the organism in Eukaryota, Viridiplantae, Streptophyta, Magnoliopsida, Ranunculales, Papaveraceae.